Molecule: ribosomal RNA, 454 nt
Filed under: uncultured bacterium
Lineage: Bacteria
Description: bacterial SSU rRNA
Rfam family: Bacterial small subunit ribosomal RNA
Source: RNAcentral
AUUGAACGCUGGCGGCAUGCCUUACACAUGCAAGUCGAACGGCAGCACGGGGGCAACCCUGGUGGCGAGUGGCGAACGGGUGAGUAAUACAUCGGAACGUGCCCUGAAGUGGGGGAUAACGUAGCGAAAGUUACGCUAAUACCGCAUAUUCUGUGAGCAGGAAAGCAGGGGAUCGCAAGACCUUGCGCUUUAGGAGCGGCCGAUGUCGGAUUAGCUAGUUGGUGAGGUAAAGGCUCACCAAGGCGACGAUCCGUAGCGGGUCUGAGAGGAUGAUCCGCCACACUGGGACUGAGACACGGCCCAGACUCCUACGGGAGGCAGCAGUGGGGAAUUUUGGACAAUGGGCGAAAGCCUGAUCCAGCCAUGCCGCGUGAGUGAAGAAGGCCUUCGGGUUGUAAAGCUCUUUCGGCGGGGAAGAAAUCGCAUUCUCUAAUACAGGAUGUGGAUGACGGUA